Molecule: ribosomal RNA, 492 nt
Filed under: uncultured bacterium
Lineage: Bacteria
Description: partial 16S ribosomal RNA
Rfam family: Bacterial small subunit ribosomal RNA
Source: RNAcentral
AGUGAACGCUGGCGGUAGGCCUAACACAUGCAAGUCGAACGGCAGCACAGUAAGAGCUUGCUCUUACGGGUGGCGAGUGGCGGACGGGUGAGGAAUACAUCGGAAUCUACUUUUUCGUGGGGGAUAACGUAGGGAAACUUACGCUAAUACCGCAUACGACCUACGGGUGAAAGCAGGGGAUCUUCGGACCUUGCGCGAUUGAAUGAGCCGAUGUCGGAUUAGCUAGUUGGCGGGGUAAAGGCCCACCAAGGCGACGAUCCGUAGCUGGUCUGAGAGGAUGAUCAGCCACACUGGAACUGAGACACGGUCCAGACUCCUACGGGAGGCAGCAGUGGGGAAUAUUGGACAAUGGGCGGAAGCCUGAUACAGCCAUACCGCGUGGGUGAAGAAGGCCUUCGGGUUGUAAAGCCCUUUUGUUGGGAAAGAAAAGCAGCAGGUUAAUACCCCGCUGUUCUGACGGUACCCAAAGAAUAAGCACCGGCUAACUUCGUG